GUGAGCGCUGGCGGUAGGCCUAACACAUGCAAGUCGAACGGCAGCACAGUAAGAGCUUGCUCUUACGGGUGGCGAGUGGCGGACGGGUGAGGAAUACAUCGGAAUCUACUUUUUCGUGGGGGAUAACGUAGGGAAACUUACGCUAAUACCGCAUACGACCUACGGGUGAAAGCAGGGGAUCUUCGGACCUUGCGCGAUUGAAUGAGCCGAUGUCGGAUUAGCUAGUUGGCGGGGUAAAGGCCCACCAAGGCGACGAUCCGUAGCUGGUCUGAGAGGAUGAUCAGCCACACUGGAACUGAGACACGGUCCAGACUCCUACGGGAGGCAGCAGUGGGGAAUAUUGGACAAUGGGCGCAAGCCUGAUCCAGCCAUACCGCGUGAGUGAAGAAGGCCUUCGGGUUGUAAAGCCCUUUUGUUGGGAAAGAAAAGCAGCAGGUUAAUACCCCGCUGUUCUGACGGUACCCAAAAAAUAAGCACCGGCUAACUUCGUG
Molecule: ribosomal RNA, 491 nt
Filed under: uncultured bacterium
Lineage: Bacteria
Description: partial 16S ribosomal RNA
Rfam family: Bacterial small subunit ribosomal RNA
Source: RNAcentral